Molecule: ribosomal RNA, 1238 nt
Filed under: metagenome
Description: bacterial LSU rRNA
Rfam family: Bacterial large subunit ribosomal RNA
Source: RNAcentral
UGAUGACGAGACGCUAAGGCGUUGAAGCAGUGUAUGUCAGACUUCCAAGAAAAGCUCGCAAUGUCACAAAUAAGAAAUGCCUGUACCAUAACCGACACAGGUGGGUAGGUAGAGUAUACUAAGGGGCGCGAGAUAACUCUCUAAGGAACUCGGCAAAAUGACUCUGUAACUUCGGGAGAAGGAGUGCCUUAUUUAUAAGGUUGCAAUAACAAGAUCCAAGCAACUGUUUAUCAAAAACACAGGUCUCCGCUAAGUCGUAAGACGAUGUAUGGGGGCUGACGCCUGCCCAGUGCCAGAAGGUUAAAGAAGUUGGUUAGUGUAUGCGAAGCUGAUGACUGAAGCCCUGGUGAACGGCGGCCGUAACAAUAACGGUCCUAAGGUAGCGAAAUUCCUUGUCGGGUAAGUUCCGACCCGCACGAAAGGCGUAAUGAUUUGGAUACUGUCUCGGAGAGAGGCUCGGUGAAAUAGACUUGUCUGUGAAGAUGCGGACUACCUGCACCAGGACAGAAAGACCCUAUGAAGCUUUACUGUAACUUGAAAUUGGAAUUGGACUUUGCUUGCGCAGUAUAGGUGGGAAGCGUUGAAAAUAUUCUUGCGGGAGUAUUGGAGCUAUCAGUGAGAUACCACUCUUGUAAUGUUAGAUUUCUAACUUUGAACCAUAAUCUGGUCAAAGAACAGUUUCAGGUGGGCAGUUUGACUGGGGCGGUCGCCUCCCAAAUGGUAACGGAGGCGUACAAAGGUUUCCUCUGAACGGAUAGAAAUCGUAUCUAGAGUGUAAAGGCAUAAGGAAGCUUGACUGUGAGACCUACAAGUCGAGCAGGGACGAAAGUCGGUCUUAGUGAUCUGACGGUACUGAGUGGAAAGGCCGUCACUCAACGGAUAAAAGUUACUCUAAGGAUAACAGGCUGAUCUCCCCCAAGAGUCCACAUCGACGGGGAGGUUUGGCACCUCGAUGUCGGCUCAUCGCAUCCUGGGGCGGUAGUACGUCCCAAGGGUUGGGCUGUUCGCCCAUGAAAGCGGUACGCGAGCUGGGUUCAGAACGUCGUGAGACAGUUCGGUCCAUAUCCGGUGUAGGCGCUAGAAUAUUGAGAGGAGCCUUCUUUAGUACGAGAGGACCGAGAAGGACACACCGCUGGUGUACCAGUUAUCGUGCCAACGGUAAACGCUGGGUAGCUAUGUGUGGAGUGGAUAACCGCUGAAAGCAUCUAAGUGGGAAGCCCACCUCGAGAUGAGUAUUC